This 301-nucleotide ribosomal RNA is filed under the name uncultured bacterium. Its description in RNAcentral is "partial 16S ribosomal RNA". It matches the Rfam family "Bacterial small subunit ribosomal RNA", at positions 509 to 809 of the family's 1533-position model. The record is from RNAcentral.
CAGCCGCCACGGUAAUACGUAGGUGGCAAGCGUUGUCCGGAUUUAUUGGGCGUAAAGCGAGCGCAGGCGGUCAAUUAAGUCUGAUGUUAAAGCCCCCGGCUCAACCGGGGAGGGUCAUUGGAAGCUGGUUGACUUGAGUGCAGAAGAGGAGAGUGGAAUUCCAUGUGUAGCGGUGAAAUGCGUAGAUAUAUGGAGGAACACCAGUGGCGAAGGCGACUCUCUGGUCUGUAACUGGCGCUGAGGCUCGAAAGCGUGGGUAGCAAACAGGAUUAGAUACCCCAGUAGUCCCUGUCUCUUAUAA